Molecule: small RNA, 28 nt
Filed under: Bombyx mori (domestic silkworm)
Lineage: Eukaryota; Metazoa; Arthropoda; Insecta; Lepidoptera; Bombycidae
Description: ovarian small RNA-10243
Source: RNAcentral
AACAGGCCAUCUUCCAUCACGACGUCCA